This 654-nucleotide ribosomal RNA is filed under the name Triticum aestivum (bread wheat). RNAcentral describes it as "partial small subunit ribosomal RNA". The record is from RNAcentral. Lineage: Eukaryota; Viridiplantae; Streptophyta; Magnoliopsida; Poales; Poaceae.
AUGGCUCAGCGUGAGAUCCAACUGAUAGUUGCCGAGGGUGAGCAGGCGCCUAAUGCAGGAGCCGGCUCCAACGCUCGUGGUGCUGGUGGUGGCGCACGUAACGCGGCGCCGGUGGGGUCGGCUGCGGUGGCCGAUAACGUACUCGAGCCGGUAUUGGUACAGGCUUCAAAAAAAGAUACCGUACUCGAGCAAGCUAAAGAUGACGAGGAGUUUCUGAACAAGAUGCGCGGGUGGCUGAUGGCGGUGGCCACGCUCUUCGUCGGCUUCGCGUUCCAGGCGGCGAUGCACCCGCCUGACUGGAUGCCCAAGGACUACUGUUUUGGAGACUGGUGGCGGGUGGGCACACGUCAACCCUUCAGAUUGCGCUAUGAGAGUUUUGCGGCACCUAUGUUCAUACUGUUGAACACCAUGACUUUCGCGACAGGAUUGGUUCUGUUGAAAAGGCUGCUGGCGAUUGAAAAGACCCCGGCUACAAGUGACAUGAAUCAAAUAAGAUUCAUGGUGGCCAGUCUCUCCGGGUGUGGGCUAGUUACGUACGUGUCCGGUAUCUCCAAUGAUCCAUUCGCUGCUUCAAUGGUUCUUGCUUCUCUCCUGGCGUACAUCGUAGCGGCUCGCGUGGUGCUGAGAGCUGGCCCCCCACCGAAUAUAGCAUGA